AUACAGAGGGUGCGAGCGUUAAGCGGAAUUACUGGGCGUAAAGCGCGCGUAGGCGGCUUGGUCAGUCGGAUGUGAAAGCCCCGGGCUCAACCUGGGAAUGGCAUUCGAUACUGCCAGGCUAGAGUAUGGGAGAGGGAAGUGGAAUUUCCGGUGUAGCGGUGAAAUGCGUAGAUAUCGGAAGGAACACCAGUGGCGAAGGCGACUUCCUGGCCCAAUACUGACGCUGAGGUGCGAAAGCGUGGGGAGCGAACAGGAUUAGAAACCCUAGUAGUCC
This 274-nucleotide ribosomal RNA is filed under the name uncultured bacterium. RNAcentral's name for it is "partial 16S ribosomal RNA". It matches the Rfam family "Bacterial small subunit ribosomal RNA", at positions 523 to 796 of the family's 1533-position model. The record is from RNAcentral.